RNAcentral lists this transfer RNA (798 nucleotides) under uncultured cyanobacterium. RNAcentral describes it as "partial 16S-23S ribosomal RNA intergenic spacer". The stretch from base 256 to 328 matches the Rfam family "tRNA". The record is from RNAcentral. Lineage: Bacteria; Bacillati; Cyanobacteriota.
CAGGGAGACAAAAACUGAUCUUGAUGUCUGAGAUAUUUACUUAGGCCAAGAUCCUGUCACCUUAGGUCGAUCGGUACCUCAGAUUUUAACGUUUGGCAGUUCUAUGUAGCUGGUAGAUGAUAAAGAUUUUAGUUCCUAAACUUUGUCUAGGUCACCCUCAAGGGUAUCUCCUGGGCCAUUAGCUCAGGUGGUUAGAGCGCACCCCUGAUAAGGGUGAGGUCCCUGGUUCAAGUCCAGGAUGGCCCAUUCGGUGUUGGGGGUUUAGCUCAGUUGGUAGAGCGCCUGCUUUGCAAGCAGGAUGUCAGCGGUUCGAGUCCGCUAACCUCCACUGAUCUACCUCCUUAUAAAGCCCAAAAGGAGAUGAUCUUUUUAGAGUGAUUUAGACAGUUUUCCGCUGAAAGAACCUAGCUUCUUGUCAUUCCUUCCUUUGAUUAUUUUUGGUGAAAGGUUGAUGAGACGCUGGGCUCAAUGUAAUUUCUAAUUACAUCGAUGUUCAGCAGAACCUUGACAACUGCAUAGGUGAGUCUGGAAAGAAUAAAGCAUCUCAUGGAUGCAUCUUUCUUGAUUGUCUAGUUAUUAGAUUGCAAGUGCUUAUCAAAUAGCUAAUCAAGAAAGAUGUCAAUUCUUUGAGCAAGAGCUAAGACUCUGCAAUGUCCUUUUACUGCUUUAGCAUUAAGAGUUUGAUUUGCAAUUUAGAUUUUUAAUAGCUAUCGAGUCUUUAUGAUUCUAAAAGUCUAUUUUUUGGUUUGAAUUGCAAAAAAUUCGUUUCAACAACGAUAAGCAUUGUAGAGGUAAUUU